This 164-nucleotide ribosomal RNA is filed under the name Elymus wawawaiensis. Its description in RNAcentral is "5.8S ribosomal RNA". It matches the Rfam family "5.8S ribosomal RNA". From Rfam's summary of the family: 5.8S ribosomal RNA (5.8S rRNA) is a component of the large subunit of the eukaryotic ribosome. It is transcribed by RNA polymerase I as part of the 45S precursor that also contains 18S and 28S rRNA. Functionally, it is thought that 5.8S rRNA may be involved in ribosome translocation. Lineage: Eukaryota; Viridiplantae; Streptophyta; Magnoliopsida; Poales; Poaceae. The record is from RNAcentral.
CACAUGACUCUCGGGAACGGAUAUCUCGGCUCUCGCAUCGAUGAAGAACGUAGCGAAAUGCGAUACCUGGUGUGAAUUGCAGAAUCCCGCGAACCAUCGAGUCUUUGAACGCAAGUUGCGCCCGAGGCCACUCGGCCGAGGGCACGCCUGCCUGGGCGUCACGC